RNAcentral lists this ribosomal RNA (503 nucleotides) under Heyndrickxia sporothermodurans. RNAcentral's name for it is "bacterial SSU rRNA". It matches the Rfam family "Bacterial small subunit ribosomal RNA", at positions 1 to 483 of the family's 1533-position model. Lineage: Bacteria; Bacillati; Bacillota; Bacilli; Caryophanales; Bacillaceae. The record is from RNAcentral.
UUUUUGGAGAGUUUGAUCCUGGCUCAGGACGAACGCUGGCGGCGUGCCUAAUACAUGCAAGUCGAGCGAAUCUGAUAGGAGCUUGCUCCUUCUCAGAUUAGCGGCGGACGGGUGAGUAACACGUGGGUAACCUGCCUGUAAGACUGGGAUAACUCCGGGAAACCGGGGCUAAUACCGGAUAACUUUUUCCUUCGCAUGAAGGAGAAUUGAAAGGUGGCACUAGCUACCACUUACAGAUGGACCCGCGGCGCAUUAGCUAGUUGGUGAGGUAACGGCUCACCAAGGCGACGAUGCGUAGCCGACUUGAGAGGGUGAUCGGCCACACUGGGACUGAGACACGGCCCAGACUCCUACGGGAGGCAGCAGUAGGGAAUCUUCCGCAAUGGACGAAAGUCUGACGGAGCAACGCCGCGUGAGUGAUGAAGGUUUUCGGAUCGUAAAACUCUGUUGUUAGGGAAGAACAAGUAUCGUUCGAAUAGGGCGGUACCUUGACGGUACCUAAC